UUAUUCAUUUUUAAACAAAAACAGAAAACCAGAUUGAAAAAUAUCUUGUGAUUUUCGAGAAAUUAACAAAAAACCAAAACAACUUUUUUCUAAAAAAACCUCUUUAUUUUUGUUUUUACAUGGCUGGACUUAUUAAUAAAUUAAUUUAUAAAACAUUAACCAUUCGUCAACUAUUUUUUAAACAUUCAGACUUAAGUAAGGAUACAUUAAAUUGAUACCGUAUUCGAUUAACCCUGAAUUGAUCACUUUUUUUCAUUGAUAACACCUGAAAACUUACCUGAGAAUUUUUGUUACUAUGUCUGGGGUGAUCGCCGCCCAUGGAUUCUAGCUUUAAGUGCUUUCAGACAAUAAAAUCGCAAUUUCUUCAUGGAAAUUGAAUAACAAAUAAUAAUGUACAUCCAAAAGAUUAAUCGAGGACAAGAAAUGGCAAAUACGAAGGAAAAGAACUCAAAUGUUAUCUAGGAAAAAAUGAUUCUCUUGAAACGUUUAAAAAUCAAAGAAUAUGAUUUAAAAAGUCCUUUUUUUAGUUUGAACUGCUUGGGCAAGUACUAUUUCAUUUUUUUUUCAUUAAAAUAAAACAAUUAUACUGCCUUAAGACCCUUACAGCUAGAGUCCAUGGGCAGCGAGUACCCCAGCCAUAGUAAGAAAAAUGCUCAGGUAAGUUUUCAGGUGUUAUCAAUGAAAAAAGUUGAUCAAUUCAGGGUUAAUCCAAUACGGUAUCACUUUAAUGUAUCCUUACUUAAGUCUGAAUGUUUAAAAAAUAGUUGACGAAUGGUUAAUGUUUUAUAAAUUAAUUUAUUAAUAAGUCCAGCCAUGUAAAAACAAAUAUAAAGAGGUUUUUUAGAAAAAAGUUGUUUUGUUUUUUUGUUAAUUUUUCGAAAAUCACAAGAUAUUUUUCAAUCUGGUUUUCUGUUUUUGUUUAAAAACGAAUAAAAGCAUCGAAUUUUAAAAACUAAAUUAGUACUUAAUUACAUGAAAUUUUGAAAAAAAUUACUUUGAAAUUUUUUUUUUUUCAAUUUUUUUUUCAAAAUUUUGAUUUUAAAAAUUAAUUUUUCAAAAACUGUGCCAUUAAAUUUCUUUGUUUAAAAUGUUUGUAAAAGACUAGGGUUUUGGCUUUACAAAAAGGUGUAGCACGUUAUUGUAAGUAUAACCGUUGAUUUUUAAUAAUUUUUUUUCCAAAAUAAGUCAAUUUUUUCUUAAAUUGCCCCUCCCCGCUAAACGAGGGGGAAUAGACCCCCCCUCCCAUACGAUUUUUUUCUUGUCUCGAACUAACCUACACGCUCUAGCUUUUUGGCACAUUACUCCUGAAUCACCCUGUAUAUGUAGAUUUACAUAUACAUAAGAUAAACGUAGCUGCGACGAAUAUGCUACAGAUCGGCUAGUACAAUGGCAAAUAUAGUCAGACGGGGAAACACCAAAGUUAUUCAUGCCUAUUACCGAAGACGCAGAUGCACUGCGGCGGGAGUGAGAGUCACUUUUACAAGAUUUCGUAUUACCGAAGCCGCCGGUGCGGAAGUGAUAGAAUGACAUGACAUGACAGUGUAAACAUAUCACACAUGUCGGUAACAGUUUAGUGUAAUUUCGUGGAUCGAUAAUACAGAUCAUCCCGUUGAGUUCACAGAUUGAAAUUUGAUUCGGUUGCGGAUCGAGUAGAUUCCAUGGGAGUGAGUCACUGCGUCUUCUGUAAUAGGCAUGAUAAAGAAAGUUUAGUUGUUGAUUCAAUUUUCACCUCACUAUCAUUUUGGUCUUUCUGAUGUUAACGUUACCAUUGCGAGUUCGUGCUGAAAAGAGCAAACCGUCUCUGCGUAGUUGAAGAGCAUUUCUUAAUAAGAAGGUGUUCUCUUGAGUUAAGUACUCAUUCAAUGUAGAUUCGAGUCGAAUUUGGGUAAGAUCAGAAGGUUGCAUUCGUUCCACUGUCAAGCAAUGCACUUUGCUCCCUAUGGGAAAAGAGUCAAGCAAUGGACAGUUACCGUUUGUGGAUUUAGUUUUCAGUCGAAAGGCGUCGACUGAUGGAGUUUAGAAGCAAUAGCCAUUGCCACCUCAGUUGGUCGUUCAUCAGGUUUCAUAGGUAUACCACGCACAAUCACGCCACGAAGCCGCUGUUUACGAUGCAGAUUUGCAAGUUUUUCUUUAAGCUUCUGAUUGUCAUCUUUCAACUCACAAGUCACAAAUGUCAUUCUCAGAUUGUUGCACUUUUAUUUCAUGAGCAAAUCUAGAGCCACUUAGUUUUUUAUUAAAAUUACUUUCAAAUUCAGAAAGUAAAGAUUUAAAUUUUUCAACUAAACUGGGCUCAAGAUCACAAAGACGUUCAGACAGAGAAGGUUUUUAAUCUAAAUCGUUUUUUGUUUGCUGGGUUUAUCUUCAGACAGAGAAGGUUUUUAAUCUAAAUCGUUUUUUGUUUGCUGGGUUUAUCUUCAGACAGAGAAGGUUUUUAAUCUAAAUCUAAGUUUUCUACUUGGUGCUGGUGAUGACACAAUUUUAGAAUUCAAAGGAGAUCAGAGAUGGCAAAAAUGCGAUUUUUUUUUAUUUUCUACAUUUGUUACGUCUACUACAUAAAUGAGGUAGUAAACGUAGUUUAAUGUAGUUAACGUAGUUAAAUGUAACAGACGUAGCGCUAGACGUCAAAAUGUAGUUUGAAAUGCCAAUUUUACCACCAAAUUGUCAAAGUGUUAUUCAAAUCGAAAAACAUAGCUGUGAUAGUGUGAAUUUGAAUAGAAUAUUUGAAACCAGAUUGACUUGGGAUGGUUUCUGUGAAAAGGUUUUACUUUACUAAACCUAAUUCUCAAGAAAACACAGCAGUUGCCGUCCACUAUUUUUCGCUGGUUAAUAUUUUUUUUUUUUAAUAUUUUUGAAAUUUAACUUUUUUUUUUUGUUAUUACACGGAGCAAAUGUAGGUAGUAAAUGAAACAAAUCAAGCGAGUAGUUUAUUCGAUUAACUACGCGUAGUUAACCGAGUAGAUUACCUGACGUAAUCUACUCUGCCAUCUCUGAAGGAGAUGCAAUUGAAGAUUUCUCUUUAAUCUGUGAUGUUUAUUGACGUGUAGUAGCAUGUGACAUGACGAAACAAUGAAAGAAUUUUCACAAAAUAAAGUAAAAAGUUUUAAUGUCACUUAUUUGAGGGAGGAAAAAUGCACUCCAGAUUAAUAAAAUAAGGUUCAUAAAUGGAAAACUUUGAUUAGAAUUACAAUUUAACUGAGACUGGAUAUUAAAUAUUUGAAUAAUCGGGAGCUAGUUACAAGCACGUCUUUUUCACUUGACAUUUAUUGUCUCUCUUAGUUCAUUUAUUUAGUUCAAUUUAGUUCGCGAAGAAGAUUUUUUCAACAAAAUAAACAGCAACCUAGAGCAGUCAUAAAAUGCCAUGACAAAACAACUUGCGAUCAUUUUACACCAUCGUUUUUUGAUAUACAUUCUUUGGUGAAAGGAAGUCCCAUCUGUAUGUAGGGAAUCCGAAAGCACCCUUUUCAUUUGCAUUAUUUGGAAAAUAAUCUUACUGAAAGAAACUUAGUAUAACAUAACAAUUUUAUAGGCGCAAGCCCAUUGUAAAAGAUUCAAUCGAAUAAAUAAAUGAAAUGAAAUGAAAAUUUCUUCUUUAAGUUUUAAUUUCUUAGAGGGGGCAGGGGUUGUAAUAAUUUCUAAUAAUUUUAACUAUAAACGUGAUAAGUUUCCGCCCGCGUAUAUUUUUCGACCUUUUUCUGUCACACGGUGUAAUUUUCUUCUAUUUAUUUUCUUGUAGGUACAUAUUAUUUACAUGUAAGAAUUAAAAUAUAACUCAAUUGUUCACUUUGUGAUAACUGAUAAUGAAA
Molecule: long non-coding RNA, 3803 nt
Organism: Episyrphus balteatus (marmalade hoverfly)
Lineage: Eukaryota; Metazoa; Arthropoda; Insecta; Diptera; Syrphidae
Exons: 2
Source: RefSeq, a predicted model, not a curated record